UUUAAAUUUAAAAAAUUAAAAUUAUUUUAAUGGGGGUUAAAGUAUUUUAAUAGAAAUAAUUUAAAAGUUUAUAGUGAAUUAGUAUUGUGAAAGAAUUUUGAAAUAAUUUAAAUAAAAAUUUAUUUAAAAGUAAUUUUUAUUUAGUGUAUCUUGUGUAUCAGAGUUUAUUAAAAAAUAUUUUUGGAUUUAAUAAUUCUCGAAUUUAAGAGAGAUAAUUAAUUAAAAAAGUUAUUGUGGCAUAAAUAUUUUUAAUAAUUAAUUGGAAAUGAAAUGUUAAUCGUUCUUAAAUAUAUCUAGUUUUUUUAGAAAAAAAUUUAAUUUUAAAUUUAUUUUAUUUUAUUAAUUAAUUAAUUAAUUAAUAAAUAUUUAAAUUUUAUAAUUUAAGGGAUAAUCUUUAAAUUAAAUAAAUAUAAUAGGUAUUAUUUUAAAUUAUUUGAAAAUUAUAUAAUUUAUAUUGUUAAUAAAUUUUAAUUUAUUAUAAAUAAUUUCAUUAAAAAUAAAAUUUAAUUAAAAAUUUAUUUUUUUUAUAAAAAAUUAAUUUUAAAUAUUUUAAAAUUAGUUAUAAUGAUAAAAUUAGUAUAUAGUUAGUUUUAAAUAGAUUUAUUUAUUAAAAUUAAAUUAAUUAAAAGGAAUUCGGCAAAUAUAUAUAUUCACUUGUUUAUCAAAAACAUGUCUUUUUGUAAAUAAUAUAAAGUCUAAUCUGCCCACUGAUUUUAUAAUUAAAGGGCUGCAGUAUAUUGACUGUACAAAGGUAGCAUAAUCAUUAGUCAUUUAAUUGGUGACUUGUAUGAAAGAUUGGAUGAAAUAUAAUCUGUCUCUUAAUUAAAUUAUAGAAUUUAAUUUUUUAAUUAAAAAGUUAAAAUGAAUUAAAAAGACGAGAAGACCCUAUAGAGUUUUAUAGUUAAAUAAAUUAAAAUUAUUUAUAAAUAAAAUUAAAUUUUAAUUUAUUUAAUUAUUUUGUUGGGGUGAUAGAAAAAUAAAAAUAACUUUUUUUAAAAUAUGAACAUAAAUAAGUGAAAAAGUGAUCCAAUUUUAUUGAUUAUAAGAAAAAAUUACCUUAGGGAUAACAGCGUAAUUUUUUUUUUUAGUUCAAAUAAAAAAAAGAGUUUGCGACCUCGAUGUUGGAUUAAGAUAAAAUUUAAAUGCAGAAGUUUAAAAUUUUGAUCUGUUCGAUCAUUAAAAUCUUACAUGAUCUGAGUUCAAACCGGUGUGAGCCCAGGUUGGUAUCUAUCUUUUAAAAGGAAAUAUUUUAGUACGAAAGGAUUAAAUAUUUAAAUUAAAUUUUUUUUUAUUCGAAUUUUAUUAAUU
RNAcentral lists this ribosomal RNA (1308 nucleotides) under Parallelia stuposa. RNAcentral describes it as "16S ribosomal RNA". Lineage: Eukaryota; Metazoa; Arthropoda; Insecta; Lepidoptera; Erebidae. The record is from RNAcentral.